RNAcentral lists this transfer RNA (71 nucleotides) under Marmota monax (woodchuck). It matches the Rfam family "tRNA". Rfam says of the family: Transfer RNA (tRNA) molecules are approximately 80 nucleotides in length. The record is from Rfam by way of RNAcentral. Lineage: Eukaryota; Metazoa; Chordata; Mammalia; Rodentia; Sciuridae.
GUAGUCUUAGCUCAGUGGUAGAGUGCUUGCCUCACAUGUGUGAGGCCCUGGGCUCGAUCCUCAGAACUACA